GACGAACGCUGGCGGCGUGCUUAACACAUGCAAGUCGAACGGAAAGGCCCUGCUUGCAGGGUCCUCGAGUGGUGAACGGGUGAGUAACACGUGGGUGAUCUGCCCUGCACUUCGGGAUAAGCCCGGGUAACUGGGUCUAAUACCGGACAGGAGCCAUAUCUAGUGUGAUGGUUGGAAAGUUUUUUUGGUGUAGGAUGAGCUCGCGGCCUAUCAGAUUGUUGGUGGGGUAAUGGCAUACCAAGGCGGAGACGGGUAGCCGGCCCGGGAGGGUGGACGGCCACAGUGAGACUGAGAUUGGGCCCAGGCUCCGACGGGAGGCAGCAGUAGGGAAGAUUGCACAAUGAGCGCAAGCGUGAUGCAGCGACACCGCGUGGGGGAUGACGGCCUUCGGGUUGUAGACGCAUUGCGCUAGGAACGAAGCUUUUUGUGACGGUACCUAGAGAAGAAGCACCGGCUAACUACGUG
RNAcentral lists this ribosomal RNA (465 nucleotides) under uncultured bacterium. RNAcentral's name for it is "partial 16S ribosomal RNA". It matches the Rfam family "Bacterial small subunit ribosomal RNA", at positions 28 to 507 of the family's 1533-position model. The record is from RNAcentral.